RNAcentral lists this ribosomal RNA (373 nucleotides) under uncultured organism. RNAcentral's name for it is "bacterial SSU rRNA". It matches the Rfam family "Bacterial small subunit ribosomal RNA", at positions 526 to 896 of the family's 1533-position model. The record is from RNAcentral.
CGUAGGGUCCGAGCGUUGUCCGGAAUUAUUGGGCGUAAAGGGCUCGUAGGCGGUUUGUCGCGUCGGGAGUGAAAACAGCCAGCUUAACUGGUUGCUUGCUUUCGAUACGGGCAGACUAGAGGUAUGCAGGGGAGAAUGGAAUUCCUGGUGUAGCGGUGAAAUGCGCAGAUAUCAGGAGGAACACCGGUGGCGAAGGCGGUUCUCUGGGCAUUACCUGACGCUGAGGAGCGAAAGUGUGGGGAGCGAACAGGAUUAGAUACCCUGGUAGUCCACACCGUAAACGUUGGGCGCUAGGUGUGGGACCUAUUCCAUGGGUUCCGUGCCGUAGCUAACGCAUUAAGCGCCCCGCCUGGGGAGUACGGCCGCAAGGCUA